GAGUUUGAUCAUGGCUCAGGAUGAACGCUGGCGGCGUGCUUAACACAUGCAAGUCGAGCGAAGCACUUAGACGGAUUUCUUCGGAUUGAAGCCUAUUUGACUGAGCGGCGGACGGGUGAGUAACGCGUGGGUAACCUGCCUCAUACAGGGGGAUAACAGUUAGAAAUGGCUGCUAAUACCGCAUAAGCGCACAGGGCUGCACGGCUCGGUGUGAAAAACUCCGGUGGUAUGAGAUGGACCCGCGUCUGAUUAGCUAGUUGGAGGGGUAAC
RNAcentral lists this ribosomal RNA (270 nucleotides) under uncultured bacterium. Its description in RNAcentral is "partial 16S ribosomal RNA". It matches the Rfam family "Bacterial small subunit ribosomal RNA", at positions 9 to 261 of the family's 1533-position model. The record is from RNAcentral.